This is a long non-coding RNA of Lates calcarifer (barramundi perch), 2142 nucleotides long. RefSeq lists it as uncharacterized. The record is from RefSeq and is a predicted model, not a curated record. Lineage: Eukaryota; Metazoa; Chordata; Actinopteri; Centropomidae. The transcript has 2 exons.
UUUUCUGCUGUGUGUGGAGAGACAAGAACAUGCACUGUGCUGUGUGUGGAGGAAUGCAGGAACGAGCGAGGAACAGGAGAAAUACAGGAAUAUACAGUUAAAAUCAGCCAACUGCUGCGAGAAAAAGUGUUAGAAUUAAGCAUUUGGCAGUACAAGAACCUGUAUGAGCUGCGCUUUCUAGCUUUGAUUCCUGUGGAUUUUCAUGAAGUGCACGUCUUUACUGCUCUGAGAGUGAGGCAAAAUGUGGGACAGAAGUGGAGUUGUAUGACUGAAUGGGUGAAUGGAGCUCUCAGCAGUGUAGCUGUGCACGGUCAGCCUGUGAGGGAAGCAGCACUGCAGCUUUCCACUUUACAGGCUCAGAAGACUCUCUGUUCACAGCUCCAACACUUAUCUCCCCUGAGCAGGUGUGUGUGUGUGUGCCAGAGUUCGCAUGCAGGCAAGCAUGGAUUUAUCUGACUUGUUUUUCUCAGCAUUCAGAUGUGUGUUUGUGCAUUUGCAACUGUGAAUGUGUGUGAAUGCAUGGGGAAUUUGUGUGUGUGCUGUUUCUAUGAUGGAGUGUGUGUGCACAUUUAUAUGUAGAUUAUAUACAUAUCCUGUAUCUGUGGAUGAGAGACACUUCCAUAAACACAGUUACCAUAUGACUGAGUGUGAGUUUCCUCUUAUCAAAGUGGAGGUGAGAGAAGCUGAGGCAGAAACAAGGUGAGAAGGAGAAAAAAGGCUGGACAACACUACUUUUUAAAAAUGCAUCCCUCUCACCUGCUUUUUUCUCCUUAAAAAAGUACACUGUAAUAGCCCAUUGCAAUUUUCCUCAGCACACAAUGCAGCACCAUACUGCAUCAAGGUGCUAUUGGCUAAAACAUCUGAGUGAUGCUUCACUGAGCCGUGUGGAGGCCAGGAGAGUCUCUGGAACGACUUACUCCAGGUGUGUGAAUUAUCUAAAAAUCUUAACUCCACACGCUGAUAUUGUCAUGUAUUAUUGUCACUACCACAAACAGCUAUUUAUUAUUUGAGGUAAAAUUUAUUGUAGUGAUGGAAAAGAGUCAUCUGAGGCAGUUAAAGAGAAAUUCUGAUAUGAAUAAAUUAUUGAUGGUUUACAUUAUAUAUUGAGUUCACCACUCUAGAAAGAUGGAAGCUGAUGGAGACAGAUAUGGCCAGUGUUCUCUCCUCAGUUGAGUGGCCAGUUCCUUCUGUGCUGCAGUCCUUGUUGCCACUGGCUCCCUCUGUUGGCCUGACAGGGUUUCAUUUGCCUCUAGGUACAGUGCUUUGCACAUUUUUUAUUUGUGCAUAAAAAGCUAUAAAUGUGGUAUACAAUGGUGGAGUUUACCAAGAAGCAGUGCUGAGGGGAAUGCUGGAACUCUAACACAGCACAGUCCACUCCUGCUCACACAGUAUCACACUGACACUGGGGCUAACUUUUAUAGUAAAUGUCUGGUUUGUAGCUUUACCUUCCUGAAGUUUUAUUAUACUAGUUUUGUGAUGCAACAGUCUGGGCUGCACUUGUUGGGAUUUAAUUCACCAUUUAAUUUAGCAAAUAAAACAUGAAAGAAAGAAAACAUAGCUUUUUUUUCAAAUAACAAAAAUUUAAAAUAAUGAUUAUUUUAAUACAUUUAAAUAUGAUCAAAUUAUGAAAUGUGUCAUCUUGUAAUCUUUCAUUGGAAAUAUGAUGAAACUAAAAAACAAACAAACUGCAAAACAAUAUACAUUUUAAAUAAAAUUGUGGUUACUGUUUUAAACAUCAGGGGGGGUUUCUGUUUUUUUUUUUUUUUUUUUUACAAUGUAUUGUUUGCUACAUUGACUGACAUUCUGUGUAUCAUCUCAGCCUUGCACCUAAAGAGUUUGAGUCAUUUCCCUGUUAUUGUUACAUCAAAAUUCUCCAGAAUGAGCAUGACUCCUAUGGAUAAUGGGCUGAUUAUGGUGAUUAACCAUUAUAUACUGGUUUCAGUCAUUUGAAUAAGACAAUGGCUUCCUUCUUUAUAUCAUUAGAAUGAAUUAGAAUGAUUCUCUAUCAUAAAAACCUGGUGAUCACUUCUGUUUUUUACUGUAUGAAGUGACAGUCGUGUGUGUGUGUGUGUGUGUGUGUGUGUCCGCACUUUAUGGUGUUUGAAAAGAGACAUGUUUUAUUAAAGAAUGUCAGAUCUCAAA